RNAcentral lists this ribosomal RNA (402 nucleotides) under Bacteroidota bacterium. RNAcentral's name for it is "Bacteroidetes bacterium partial 16S ribosomal RNA". It matches the Rfam family "Bacterial small subunit ribosomal RNA", at positions 355 to 776 of the family's 1533-position model. Lineage: Bacteria; Pseudomonadati; Bacteroidota. The record is from RNAcentral.
UGGGGAAUUUUGCACAAUGGGGGAAACCCUGAUGCAGCGACGCCGCGUGAUUUAGAAGGCCUUCGGGUUGUAAAAAUCUUUUUUACGGGAUGAAAAUGACAGUACCGUAAGAAUAAGGUCCGGCUAAAUACGUGCCAGCAGCCGCGGUAAUACGUAUGGACCGAGCGUUGUCCGGAUUUAUUGGGCGUAAAGCGAGCGCAGGCGGUUAGAAAAGUCUGAAGUGAAAGGCAGUGGCUCAACCAUUGUAGGCUUUGGAAACUGUUUAACUUGAGUGCAGAAGGGGAGAGUGGAAUUCCAUGUGUAGCGGUGAAAUGCGUAGAUAUAUGGAGGAACACCGGUGGCGAAAGCGGCUCUCUGGUCUGUAACUGACGCUGAGGCUCGAAAGCGUGGGGAGCGAACAGG